Molecule: non-coding RNA, 331 nt
Organism: Neolamprologus brichardi
Lineage: Eukaryota; Metazoa; Chordata; Actinopteri; Cichliformes; Cichlidae
Source: RefSeq, a predicted model, not a curated record
ACAGGUAAGGCAAUUGUUACGAUUGCAGGAGCUGGUGGAACUGUGAUUCUGACUCCUGCCAUUCUGACUACACUGGGGUUCACUUCAGCUGGAAUAGCAGCAGGCUCCAUUGCUGCCAAACUGAUGUCAAUGCUUGCAAUCGCUAGUGGAGGUGGAGUUGCAGCAGGAGGUCUCGUAGCAAUCUUGCAGUCAUGGGGUGCAGCAGGUCUGUCAUGGGUUGCCACUGCAUUGUUUGGCAGUGUUGGUGGAGCAGCGGGUUGGAUAAUCUCAGCUGUGUGUAACCUCAACGUGACUGUGAAAUAUGAAAAUUAACAAACCGAAUAAACACAAA